Long non-coding RNA from Acanthochromis polyacanthus (spiny chromis), 461 nucleotides. RefSeq lists it as uncharacterized. NCBI's taxonomy places the organism in Eukaryota, Metazoa, Chordata, Actinopteri, Pomacentridae. The record is from RefSeq and is a predicted model, not a curated record. The transcript is spliced from 3 exons.
GCGAUGCGCUAAGAGUCUGCCAUGCAGACCAGCGAUCCUGAUAAUGUUGUCAGCGUUGGAUGAUGAGGUCCAGUUACCAGGAGCACUAGUCUGCAGCUUACUGGUUCCGUCCUGCAGCUCCUCCACGCCGUCCUCCUCUCUACAGACCAAAUCAAGAAAAGGGAACCAGGAAGCUGCUGUGGAUCCUCUGCAGUAUCUGGAGAGGUCAGAGGAACGGUUCUUGGAACAGAUCGGAAGACACCAAGACGUGACCUCUGCCAUGCUCCAGAACAUCCAGAAGAUGAAUGAAAACCUUGGUUGCACUGAUGGGACGCAUGGUGUCGGUGCUGGAGCAACUGUCCCAGAAUUAAACUGCAUUGUUGACUAUUGGCUUUUCUAGAAAAUAAAUCUUUUUUAGUACUUCACCUGUUUUGUAUUUUACUCAUGUACUUUGGGUGAAUAAACAGAAAUUUGUGAUGAGA